RNAcentral lists this long non-coding RNA (711 nucleotides) under Homo sapiens (human). RNAcentral describes it as "non-protein coding lnc-CLEC20A-7:1". The record is from RNAcentral. Lineage: Eukaryota; Metazoa; Chordata; Mammalia; Primates; Hominidae.
UUAGACAUUUGGGUAUGAGCUCACUGGCAAAGAGUGAAGCCCAUAUAAUCUACCAUUAAAUAAAUUAUUCAGUAAUCUGUGAUGUCCUUGUAACAUGAGAAUCCCCUAUUUAAAAAAAAAUAGCUGCACUGCUUACAGAGGCACAUGCCUGCUAUUUAUAGUCUUUAUGGAAGUUGCUUUGCUAGCAAAUCCAACUAGAACUCCCCGGGAAUCUACAAGGAUUGAUGUUUACUGCAGGGUUUUUACACUGAGCUAUUUUGCAUAUGUGUGGGUGUGUGAUGCACACACAGAGGACUGACGGAGAAAGCCCAAGCAGGUAUGAGGUAUUUGUUAGCUCUGCUCCAUUUUCCUCUUAACAUUCAGGAAACUCAAAUAGGGACAAAGUAACUACAGGUCACCCACAGAUCCAGUGAUAUGUAUUCCUGACUGUAUCCAGGCAACUGGGGCUCUACUUUUUUCUAAGAAGACAUGUUAGUUCUCUGCCAACAAUGUCAGAUUUCUCUCACAGACAAAGCAGACCCAGGGGCACUGAGCCUCCCUUUUUACUUCCCCUUUUCCCCCAGGUGCGAGUAUGAUGUCCUGAAGACAGGAGGGGAUGUGGGUUGCAGGGAGUCAAGGAAUCAGGGAGGCAGCUUGCAGAUCAGAGUGGGGCAGAUGGCCUACAUGAAUUCUCAUUCUGGAAGGGCUGGAAAAGAAACAGCCAGGUUGGCU